AGCAGCCGCGGUAAUUCCAGCUCCAAUAGCGUAUAUUAAAGUUGUUGCAGUUAAAAAGCUCGUAGUUGAAUUUCGGGGUUAGUAGGUUGGUCAUGCCUCUGGUAUGUACUGGUCUCACUGAUUCCUCCUUCCUGAUGAGCCGUAAUGCCAUUAAUUUGGCGUUGCGGGGAAUUUGGACUGUUACUUUGAAAAAUUAGAGUGUUUAAAGCAAGCUAACGCUUGAAUACAUUAGCAUGGAAUAAUGAAAUAGGACGUUCGAUCCUAUUUUGUUGGUUUCUAGGAUUGACGUAAUGAUUAAUAGGGAUAGUUGGGGGCAUUAGUAUUCAAUUGUCAGAGGUGAAAUUCUUGGAUUUAUUGAAGACUAACUACUGCGAAAGCAUUUGCCAAGGAUGUUUUCAUUAAUCAAGAACGAAAGUUAGGGGAUCGAAGACGAUCAGAUACCGUCGUAGUCUUAACCAUAAACUAUGCCGACUAGGGAUCGGAUGAUGUUAAUUUUUAAUGUACUCAUUCGGCGCCUUAA
RNAcentral lists this unclassified non-coding RNA (520 nucleotides) under uncultured Glomus. RNAcentral describes it as "SSU rRNA". It matches the Rfam family "Eukaryotic small subunit ribosomal RNA", at positions 569 to 1091 of the family's 1831-position model. The record is from RNAcentral. Lineage: Eukaryota; Fungi; Glomeromycota; Glomeromycetes; Glomerales; Glomeraceae.